RNAcentral lists this long non-coding RNA (321 nucleotides) under Fukomys damarensis (Damara mole-rat). RNAcentral's name for it is "lncRNA (ENSFDAG00000023057.1)". The record is from RNAcentral. Lineage: Eukaryota; Metazoa; Chordata; Mammalia; Rodentia; Bathyergidae.
UGCUAUUUUACCAGUGGCUUCCCAUGCUGAGUCACACAUGGGGACCUCUCCUGUUUGAGAGCCAGGAAAGGCCUUGUCCUCAGAAAGGUGUCAGAGACAGCAAUCUUCAUGAGUCCUGUUUUAUUUGUGAGUCAAGCACAAGGAGCCUGCUGAAACCCAUUAGGUAUAAAUUCUGCAGGCCCUGCACCAACCGUGUCACCGCUAGAAGGCGAAAGAGAGACCACCCGCCCUCACACGGAUGCGGAGCUCUCUGACAGCCCAACCGCGAGGCUGCCAGGGACAGAUGUUGCACAUCCUUUAAUGGUAGGCUGGAAAGGGGCC